CCUACGGGUGGCAGCAGUGAGGAAUAUUGGUCAAUGGGCGGGAGCCUGAACCAGCGAAGCCGCGUGAGUGAAGAAGGUACAGCGUAUCGUAAACCUCUUUUGUCAGGGAACAAAGGCGGGGACUAGUCCCCGGAUGAGGGUACCUGAAGGAAAAGCAUCGGCUAACUCCGUGCCAGCAGCCGCGGUAAUACGGAGGAUGCGAGCGUUAUACGGAUUUAUUGGGUGUAAGGGGUUCGCAGGCGGCCUGUUCAGUCCGCGGUAAAAGCCCGGGGCUAAACCCCGGAGAGCCGUGGAAACUGGAGGGCUGGAGGGGGAGAGAAGUACGCGGAAUGCGCGGUGUAGCGGUGAAAUGCUUAGAUAUCGCGCAGAACCCCGAUUGCGAAGGCAGCGUACCGGCUCCAAACUGACGCUGAGGCACGAAAGCGUGGGUAUCGAACAGGAUUAGAUACCCCUGUAGUC
This 459-nucleotide ribosomal RNA is filed under the name uncultured bacterium. Its description in RNAcentral is "partial 16S ribosomal RNA". It matches the Rfam family "Bacterial small subunit ribosomal RNA", at positions 338 to 795 of the family's 1533-position model. The record is from RNAcentral.